RNAcentral lists this ribosomal RNA (253 nucleotides) under uncultured bacterium. RNAcentral's name for it is "partial 16S ribosomal RNA". It matches the Rfam family "Bacterial small subunit ribosomal RNA", at positions 524 to 776 of the family's 1533-position model. The record is from RNAcentral.
AACGUAGGGCCCGAGCGUUACCCGGAAUCACUGGGCGUAAAGCGCACGCAGGCGGCCUGGUAAGUCGGGCGUGAAAUCUCCAAGCUCAACUGGGAGGGGCCGUCCGAUACUGCUGGGCUUGAGGGCGGGAGAGGGAGGUGGAAUUCCCGGUGUAGCGGUGAAAUGCGUAGAGAUCGGGAGGAACGCCAGUGGGGAAGCCGGCCUCCUGGUCCGUCCCUGACGCUCAGGUGCGAAAGCCAGGGGAGCGAACGGG